CUGGGUUGUACAUUUUAGUAUCUUUAUAACUUCACCAGAUCGCUGUUUUUAAGAGCAAUGUUCAGUACAGAGUGCUAGGUUGAAGAGUCAACCUGGCUGAGCACACUCAACUUCACUUGUUGAGUGGAAAUUCAUGUGGGUGUGAACUGCAGCUCCGACGUCAAAUAAAAUGUUGUUUUAAUAAAAAGAACAGAUUUCAACACAAAAGACAAUGUAAUGCGUAAAGCAUUUGCUCAUCCAGUAACACCUCUUCACCAGUAAACAAGCUAGUCGAAUAGUUGCCGGUUUUAGAUCUUUAAACUAAAGUGCAGAUGCUCUUGCUGCUGCUCCUUUCCUCUAUCAAGCAAACACGUUGGAAUCUGCUCAGAACAAUAACUCACAUAUUUUCCCAAAACCCAAUACAUAACUUUAUUUGUAUCUCCAGUUCCUAUUCAGUUUCAUCCUUAUACGUGAUCCCAGACAAUUAUCAAGCAACCACUUUGAGCAUUCAUUCGUUUAAUAGUGUGCAAUAGUUCCUCUAUCUUGUACUUUGCAUACUAACAAGAUGUAAAUAGAAUAUGCACUGGCUAUAGGGAAAUAAUAUUACCAUCUGUAGUUUGCGCUGUCUCACUUCAUUAAAUUGAUAUAAACAACCAUGGUUUAUACAACCACUGAAAUCCAUCAGGGGGGGGGGGGGGGGGGACAAUGAGUGCACACUUUGGAAUCAGGGUAUGUGAAUGAACCAGACACACACUAAAACUUUUGAGUAGAUUGAGGCUAAUUCUUUCCCACAUACAUACACACAAACACUCUCUCUCUCUCUCUCUGUGUAUUGCUAUUGAGAGAAUCCCUGUGUAAGAACUUCAGUUCAAAUUGACCUGUUCUCGUUUCCUUUGCAUAGCAAAGUUCUUCAUCGCCCUUUUAGGAGGCACAAGUGUGUUACUCAGCCCUAUUCUCCUCUUCUUAGACUGCUGACCCUCCUCCUCAGGUUCUCCUCCUUGGUUGUGGAGAAAGUUCGGGCGGCAGGGGUAUGAAGAACCCCCUGCGUUGGGGUCAGCUUGGUCUGUUCCGGGAGACUCCCCCGUGGGUGGGUCAUAGUCACUGGGAAUAAUUGAGCUCUGGAGGUCACUGUCAUGGGCAAAUUUGCAUUUGAUCCCAAACCUGCAACGCCCGUCCUUCCUGUACGCCACACACAUCCUCCUGCCCCCUAUUUGAGAGGGCCGGGCCUGCAGAGUGAGAGGAACGUGCUUCUGCAAGACAUUGAGCUUCAGCUCGGCUUGAGCUUUGAAGGGAUUGGUGAACACACCGCUCUUGGACGAAGCCCCGAGGGGGGGAGGGGGGAGUUUGUGGGAAAAGGAGCUGGGUGAUGCAGAGAGGAGAGGGGUCAGGGACUUAGAUGGGGAGGCCACACGGGCAGGCGGAGGGACCUUAGAUUGUAACUGAGUCAUGGAGUCCCCCUCUUCCUCUGGGCUUGAACCACAGUCCGACUCACUGGAAUGGGACCCGGAUUCUAGCAGGAAAUUGCAGCCCUUUUUGGUCUCUGCAUCUCCACCCACCUCAUUCCCAGGCCUUAAA
Molecule: long non-coding RNA, 1554 nt
Organism: Esox lucius (northern pike)
Lineage: Eukaryota; Metazoa; Chordata; Actinopteri; Esociformes; Esocidae
Source: Ensembl